UCCAGACUCCUACGGGAGGCAGCAGUGAGGAAUAUUGGUCAAUGGGCGGAAGCCUGAACCAGCCAAGUCGCGUGAGGGAAUAAGGCCCUACGGGUCGUAAACCUCUUUUGCCGGGGAGCAAGGGCCGGGACGCGUCCCGGCCCGGAGAGUACCCGGAGAAAAAGCAUCGGCUAACUCCGUGCCAGCAGCCGCGGUAAUACGGAGGAUGCGAGCGUUAUCCGGAUUUAUUGGGUUUAAAGGGUGCGUAGGCGGGCUUUUAAGUCAGCGGUAAAAAUUCGGGGCUCAACCCCGGCGAGCCGUUGAAACUGGCUGUCUUGAGAUGUCGAGAGGUAUGCGGAAUGCGCAGUGUAGCGGUGAAAUGCUUAGAUAUUGCGCAGAACUCCGAUUGCGAAGGCAGCAUACCGGCGGCGAUCUGACGCUGAGGCACGAAAGCGUGGGUAUCGAACAGGAUUAGAUACCCCGGUAC
Molecule: ribosomal RNA, 466 nt
Filed under: uncultured bacterium
Lineage: Bacteria
Description: bacterial SSU rRNA
Rfam family: Bacterial small subunit ribosomal RNA
Source: RNAcentral